RNAcentral lists this ribosomal RNA (1302 nucleotides) under metagenome. RNAcentral describes it as "SSU rRNA". It matches the Rfam family "Eukaryotic small subunit ribosomal RNA", at positions 105 to 1397 of the family's 1831-position model. The record is from RNAcentral.
AUCAGUUAUAAUUUACUUCAUUGUAUACUCUUACUUGGAUAACCGUAGUAAUUCUAGAGCUAAUACAUGCUAAAAAACGGAACUGCGGCAACGCGGAACCGUUGUGUUUGUUAGAUACAAAAUCAAUGCAGUCGUAAGGCUGGUUUUUUGAUGAUUCAUAACAACUAAACGAAGCGCAGGCCUAGAGCCGGCGCUGAUAGAAACAAGUUUCUGCCCUAUCAACUUUCGAUGGUAGUAUAGGGGACUACCAUGGUCGUAACGGGUAACGGGGAAUUAGGGUUCUAUUCCGGAGAGGGAGCCUGAGAAACGGCUACCACUUCCAAGGAAGGCAGCAGGCGCGCAAAUUACCCAAUCCUAAUACUGGGAGGUAGUGACAAGAAAUACCAUUGGUUGAGACAUUGUCUGAGCUAUUUGGAAUGAGAACAAUUUAAACACCUUAACGAGGAACAAAUGGAGGGCAAGUCUGGUGCCAGCAGCCGCGGUAAUUCCAGCUCCAUCAGUGUAUAUUAACGUUGUUGCGGUUAAAAAGCUCGUAGUUGGAUUUCGGAGUGCGAAGGUCAAGGCCCGUCAAUUGGCGUGGUCCGACAGUCGCCUCCUAGCUUAGGGUAACAGCCUCUCUUCCUUUACGGGUUGGGAUGUGCCGUUCCCUAUCGUUUACUUUGAUAAAAUCAGAGUGUUCAAAGCAGGCGUCACUUGCCUUGAAUGUUGCCGCAAGGGAUAAUAGAAUAUGACUUCGGUCUUAUUUUGUUGGUUUCUAGGGCUGAAGUAAUGACUAAUAGGGACAGUUGGGGGCGCUCGUAUUGAGUUGUCAGAGGUGAAAUUCUAGGAUUUACUCAAGACGAACUACUGCGAAAGCAUUCGCCAAGGAUGUUUUCAUUAAUCAAGAACGAAAGUAGGGGGAUCGAAGAUGAUCAGAUACCGUCGUAGUCUCUACCAUAAACUAUGUGGACCAACGAUCCGAGGAAGUUACAUGGAUGACUCUCCGGGCAGUUUGUGAGAAAUCAUAAGUAUUUGCAUUCCGGGGGGAGUAUGGUCGCAAGGCUGAAACUUAAAGGAAUUGACGGAAGGGCACCACCAGGAGUGGAACCUGCGGCUUAAUUUGACCCAACACGGGGAAACUUACCAGGUCCGGACACAGUUAGGAUUGACAGAUUGAGAGCUCUUUCUUGAUUCUGUGGGUGGUGGUGCAUGGCCGUUUUUAGUUGGUGGAGUGAUUUGUCUGGUUAAUUCCGUUAACGAACGAGACCUUAACCUAUUAAUUAGUUAUACGAACUUGGGCUUCGGUCUUUUCGGUUCGUGGAC